Triticum dicoccoides is the source of this 1766-nucleotide long non-coding RNA. RefSeq lists it as uncharacterized. The transcript is spliced from 5 exons. NCBI's taxonomy places the organism in Eukaryota, Viridiplantae, Streptophyta, Magnoliopsida, Poales, Poaceae. The record is from RefSeq and is a predicted model, not a curated record.
CGGACGCCCCGGCGCGCCAGCCGGAUGGCGCGAAACUCAAGGCGGCGGCGACGGCGACGGCGGCUUGUGGUACCGUGGAGCUGGCCUCAUUAACAUAUGACCGGGUAAACUACGCCCACGGCAUGGCUGGCGACCUCUCCUCCGUCCACUGGAAGUGCCACCAGAUGCAUAAUUGGUGGUGACUUGCAGGCUAGCGUAUAUCCUGGCCUAUGUUUACAGAUGGCUGGAUCUGCUCCUCGAUCUAGCAGGAUGGAUGUAGCUACCUACUUGAUUCAAAUCAUUACUUUGCUUCCUCUGCUGGAACCUGGGGUUGAAGUUGGGAUUCUGCAUCUGGUCGGCCCUCAAUCACAGGCCAGGGAUGGCCAUGGUUUUUCCGCUUCAGAGUUGAGCUGGAUGCCCGUGCAGUGCACGAGUCUCCUGAACACAAUGAGCAUGCCGUGGUCUGUCGUCUGUUCCAGCAGCAACGUUCAUACGUUGUUGUCCACUACUCCAGUGCAGCAGCAGCCCGAAAAUAAUGGAGAGCUGAUUCUUAGGUAUGUGAAGAAAGGGUGGGAAGAUCAAAUCAAGGACCCGGGCAGUUACUGGAAGUUCAAUGAUCGCAGGGGGGCAGUGGAUGCUUCAUACGAACAAGUGCAACCAAGAUCUGGGUUGCAGCUUAAGGAGGCCAUUCGAUGAGUGUUCUUCUCUGGCACACCACCAUGGAUUUCUGCUUCUACUACAUUACAUGGGCACAUCAGCAGAUCGCCGAUGUACCACUGUUCGGUGUGUUCACAAUGCCUCUGGUGAAGGCCGUGGGUGUGCUGUCUGGUGCGGAAGAUCUCCUCACCACAGUAGAUCCUUAAGGAUGAUAAGACAAUCCAUGGAAGGUGAUUGAGGCCUGUGGGUGGAUAUGUUCUGCUUCUCCUCGGCCAGUAGCAGUAGGUGUCGAGGGUACCUACACGGCAAGAGUUUGGGCACCACGGAGGGGAGCUGCUCACAUAUACUCCUAUUUGGCUCCUGUCGCUCAUGGGGAUGGAAACCUUGCCCGAGAGGCUGCAGAUGACAGAGCUUUCGAGUGGACAAGGAAAUGCCGGCGCUGCUCCAUCAACUUCCCAGGCUAGUACCGCGAAGCCGUUUUUGAAAAUUGAUGUUUUUCUAUUCUGCAUUUGCUUAUUUUUGGAAGCUUUUUGUAGUUCAUACAUUGUGGUGUUCCAUUUGUCGCUGUUCCUCUUCUUCGGAACCGGCGACGGUAGCGCCCGUGGGUGUCGCGAUCUUUCCUGAAAUCAUCAUUGUGGAGGUGUGGUCACCCCUCUCCCCGCGGCCUUGGCUCCGGAGGGAAACCUCUGAUCAUCUGGAUCGGGUGAUGGAGGCGUCCUAGCGCCUUUCUCCUCCUUGGGGGCAUCGUCUUGAAGCGGACUGCAACUAGGAGACCGAUGGUUGUUGGUGGCUGGUUCGUCGAGGCCAGGGGGUGUCAAUGUCUGUUUGGCAAUGAUGAUGGCGCCAAGAUGAGUUGGGGUCAUGUCUCGGGCUCUUCCAUGGUUGCUUGAUUGUUGUGGAGUCGAAGCUGCGGUGGAUUGUGUCUAGGUGGUGACGGCACUCGUCGGUCGUUCGCGGAGGUCUUGGCCGGCGCAAGCCCUGCAUAUUUCCCUUGCAAAGAUUGUCGUCAAAGUCGAAGCUGUCGUUCGCUGGCGCGUGUGGCCAUCUGUUGGCAUGUGGCCAGGUUGGCUGGUGGUGUCCAUUUUCUGGGCUGAGUUGUACCGGUUUUAGCCCGGUUUUCCGCAAAUUAA